RNAcentral lists this ribosomal RNA (429 nucleotides) under uncultured Fidelibacterota bacterium. RNAcentral's name for it is "bacterial SSU rRNA". It matches the Rfam family "Bacterial small subunit ribosomal RNA", at positions 630 to 1056 of the family's 1533-position model. The record is from RNAcentral. Lineage: Bacteria; Pseudomonadati; Fidelibacterota.
AAACUGUUAACCUUGAGUGCGAGAGAAGGAAGUGGAAUUCCUGGUGUAGCGGUGAAAUGCGUAGAUAUCAGGAGGAACACCGGUGGCGAAGGCGGCUUCCUAGCUCGUAACUGACGCUAAGGUGCAAAAGCGUGGGUAGCAAACAGGAUUAGAUACCCUGGUAGUCCACGCUGUAAACGAUGUAUACUUGAUGUUGGGGGAUCUAACCCCCUCAGUAUCGUAGCUAAUGCGAUAAGUAUACCGCCUGGGGACUACGGUCGCAAGGCUGAAACUCAAAGGAAUUGACGGGGGCCCGCACAAGCGGUGGAACAUGUGGUUUAAUUCGAUGCAACGCGAAGAACCUUACCUGGGUUUGAAAUUAUAAUGACCGUCUGUGAAAGCAGACUUUCCUUUCGAGGACAUUAUGACAGGUGGUGCAUGGCUGUCGUC